This 1547-nucleotide long non-coding RNA is filed under the name Brassica napus (rape). RNAcentral describes it as "long non-coding RNA (BNAP_LNC008335)". Lineage: Eukaryota; Viridiplantae; Streptophyta; Magnoliopsida; Brassicales; Brassicaceae. The record is from RNAcentral.
CUCUUGCUGACCACCGGCUAUACGCUGGUACUUUUUGUCAUGGCUAUGGAGGUAGCCACUAGUGUCUAUGUGUUGAAGUCGGACUCUUUGGUCUUGUUUCCAUGUCUUCCCGCUCCCUUCGAUUAUAAGCCUAUGAAACAGAUCGUAAGGUGUGAGUGUGAGCUUCUAUGUGGAUGCAAACACACUAAACAUUUAGAUGAGUAUCAAAUAGCUUUUAAGGGAUUAUAAUUACUUCCAGUGAUCCCCAGUAUCGGAAUUUGAAUCAUCUCCAAAGCAGCUAACCUGCACCAAGAAAAUUGGGUUAGCAAGAAGAAGAAUGCAACUACCAAUUUAAACCGGCACAGUACUUCACAAUUCACAUAGACCCACUAUAAUAAUAUCCUCAUACUACACUGCUUAAAACCAUAAGAUAGAUCUUUAACCCAAGCUUAGCGGAUCAGGGCAUACAAAAACGUUUUAAAUGGAAGAGAAUAAUAACCUCUAAGUUGCCUGAUAUAGGAGAUGCAUGCAAGUGACUGUGGAGCCAUUUCCGGGUCUUCAUGUGCUGCAAUCUAAUGGUAGCUCCACUCAUGACGGCAUCACCUUGCUUUGCUGUUGUCCCAGGCACAGGUUUAACAAUCUAUCAAAAAGAAUAGUCCAUGACAAGAUAAAUGCACCAGCUCCAUUACUCCAUCAUAACUCAUUAAAAACCAUUGCUUCAGAUCAAAUACAAAUUAAUGUUCUGUUCUAACAUACAAAAAACAGGCAGACCUGAGAUUUAGGGGGCAAUUUAUUAACGAUUUUAACUAAAAACUUUUUUUACAAUUUUGAAAGCCUAAAUUUUUUUUUUUGGAAGCCUAUGUUUAUGUAGUGUUCUUCAAAAACAUUUUGGGGGUGGUAAGGCACCCAAUGUUUCAUUCGGCUUUGCCCAGGACCGGCCGUGAUCCAAAGACUCCAAUUUUAAGUUGCUCUAAUACACCAUAUCUUCAAAUUUAAUAAACUAAUAUAUAAGGAUAAGAGAAGCUAGUUGAUGUUUUGUUCCAAGACUUGAAACAAAAUGAUCUUCUUGUGUAAAAGCAAUAAAGUACCCAGUAGCUGUUGGAAUCAACGACGCCAGGAAAGCCAGUGACUGACUGCUGCCCACUGCCGGAUCCAUAGGGCACAUCGUGAGAAUGCAGUCGAACCUUUGUCUUCUCGUGCAUCAGCUUCAUCGCACUUCCAUACGUAAUCUAUACAUCACAACGAGAUACCGAAUUCGAAUCAAAUGCAAGAAGAAACACUAAAUCGAUACAAUGUAUACACACACCUCGACGCCUUCUUUACCCGAAGCGGCGGCGGCGGAGGCAGACGUGUACGCUGGUACUUUUUGUCAUGGCUAUGGAGGUAGCCACUAGUGUCUAUGUGUUGAAGUCGGACUCUUUGGUCUUGUUUCCAUGUCUUCCCGCUCCCUUCGAUUAUAAGCCUAUGAAACAGAUCGUAAGGUGUGAGUGUGAGCUUCUAUGUGGAUGCAAACACACUAAACAUUUAGAUGAGUAUCAAAUAGCUUUUAAGGGAUUAUAAUUACUUCC